Mercurialis annua (annual mercury) is the source of this 1443-nucleotide long non-coding RNA. RefSeq lists it as uncharacterized. The transcript has 4 exons. NCBI's taxonomy places the organism in Eukaryota, Viridiplantae, Streptophyta, Magnoliopsida, Malpighiales, Euphorbiaceae. The record is from RefSeq and is a predicted model, not a curated record.
UUAUGCAAAGCCUAUGCAUAAUAUUAACCUAUAAUAUUAAGCCCAUGCAAAUUGCCCAUGAUCAUUGUUUCACUUAUGUACAGGUAUGGCCUGUUUAAUUUUGUUAAGUCUAUUGUUAUUAUCUUGCCCGUUGCUUUUAUAUUCCUUCCAUUUAUAUCACGUUUUCUUAACCUAAUUUAUUCAUCACUUAAACCUAACCCUAGCCGUCAAUUUUAUCUCAAAACCUCUAAAACAUCGCUGUUCAAAUCAUCCUCUUUAUGCUCGUGAAAUUAGCGUUAUAUUUGGAUCCGUCUUGUCCCUGUGAUACUAGACUCACGCCUCUACGAUUCUCAACUUCGUUUUCUCAUUCGACUCUUCGACUACUCGCGCUCCGGAGUCGAAACAGGGUUAGCUGUUUGCCAAGAUCACGUGGAUAAGCAAGCUGGUUAUGAUCUGAGAGAGUCUGGUGAUCUCCGCAUUUACUUUUCCUCGGAGGUUCCAUUUAUUUUUAUAAACUGUCAAACUAUUUUAUUCUUAGACCGCAGUAGUUGACUAGACGUCUUUAUUAUUGUUACAGUUGUAUGUCGGAUUGGUCUGACUGGUUAUAUUGCUCUGGCAUGUUAUGUAUUUAUUUCGGAUUAUUUAUGUUAUGCCUAUUUUAGACCCGGAAUUGAAUAAGUAUGUUAUAUUAACUGUUGAUUAUCAUAACUGCUAGUUUAGGCUGAAGUCUCGGUUGCCCCCGAGCAUUGGUUUUCUGCAGGUUUAUGUAUUUAUGAAUUAAAUGAAAGGCUAGCUACGGGUUUCGGUACUACAUUACCCAUACCCUAGCGCCGGUCGCGAUUCAUGAAAAUGGGUCGUGACAAACUUGGUAUCAGAGCUUUAGUUUCGAACUAACGCCAAAUUUUUUUUUUUUUCAUGUUAUGUGUUUAUCGUUUUAAGGCAUGUUAAGUGUUAUUAUUGUGUCAUAGGAUCUACUGCGGAAUUAGGUUCAUGUCUUGUCUUUGAAACGUCAUCUUUUAAAUUUUAAAACUUUCUGCCUACAACGAUAGGAUUGCGUCAAGUCAGUCAUUAUUUUUGCUUUGAUUUGAUGCUUUUAUUGAUGUUAUUUCACUUGGAUGAUUUUAAUUGCUUUUGAUUUCUCGGGAAAUCUUAUUUGGUAAUUUUCUUUAAGUCAUGCUUUGGCAUGAUGUUAUUUUCUUUUCAUGUUGUUGAUGUGUUUUACUGGGUGAUAGUAUCCUGGCUUUUAUGCCUUUAAUUAAUUGUUGAGGUUGAAUUAUUUUAUAAGUCUUUCUGGCGUUGGCCGAGAGUCUUGAAUUUAAAAAUGAUAUUUUUUCAGAUUUGACACUGUUUCGGGUUUAAAUGAUUUUUAACUGAUUUUUUUUUCUCCACGUUUUGUGGAUUACGUUGCUGGCCACGUAAUGGUUUUAAAUUUUCUUAAGAAAAUUUCUUUGGCCUAACUGGUAU